AAGAUAGAUAUUCUCUACAUUCCUCAUGGUCAGGCAACACAGCCAGUUGCAGCAGUUGUUACCAUAUUGACCCCAGUCAAAACUAGGAGCUCAGAGAUAAUCAGCCACACAGCCAGUUGCAGCAGUUGUUACCGUAUGACCCCAGUCAAAACUAGGAGCUCAGAGACAAUCAGCAACACAGCAAGUUGCAGCAGUUGUUACCAUAUUGACCCCAGUCAAAACUAAGAGCUCAGAGACAAUCAGCAACACAGCCAGUUGCAGCAGUUGUUACCGUAUGACCCCAGUCAAAACUAGGAGCUCAGAGAUAAAUACUGUUUAAGAUAGAUAUUCUCUACAUUCCUCAUGGUAUGUUAAGCACAAACUCUGACAGAUCUCAUCUUUGAACUUUGUAACGGGCGAAAAAUAAAUGACCUUGUUCAGAAUGAAAUGGCAGAAUGACAAAGCACAACCAUUUAAGGGGAAACCAUAAAUUAAUGUGACCCGCAAAGAUGUGUUCAAAGCAAAACAAUAUGUCAUGUCUUUGGGGACUUUGAAUUUUGAUGGUGUCAUUCAUUAAACAUUUAAUAUUUUUGUUAAAUAUAGUUAAAUAUAAUGAUAUAAAGGAUAUUUGAUUAAGGCGUGUAUGUUAAUUAUUACUUUAAGCACAAAUAUAGCACGUCUAUCAAUUACUUAUGAAACUUGCACCUGAUAAUGAUAAAUGCAUGAAAAUUAAAUUGUACUUAAGACAUUAUUUCAUACCUUGAGCUUAAGAAAAUUGAAAGCUGUUUAAAUUAUGCUGGUAACAUUAUAUACAAAAUAUGUAUUGGAUUAUAUUCAUGUAAAAAACAAGUUUCAGUUUUCUGUUGUAACAUGCAAUAUAGAAGUAUUAUCAAGAAUCGUGUUAAGUAUGGCACUAUUCGAAAUGAAUAUUCAUUAAAUAAAGACAAAAUCAUUUAAUCUUCUUUCAAUUGUCAAUUCUGUAUGUACUACUACUACCUUAUUUAUUUGACUUGAUAUGGUUUGUUAAAUUAUAAGAUAAUGCCUCUUUAUUUGGAAAGCUUUCAAUGUUUUGAAACUGAGUAUUUAAAAAUGAAUUAUUAAAAGAAUUAUGAAAAAUCAUGGCUGAUGUCAAAGUUAUGUUUGAUUUUGCCAAUUUUGUGUUGAUAUUUAAUAUACAUGUACUUACAUGCUCAUAAGUGUUGACAUUUGUUUUUGAACAUAAUAGUUUUUUAUGUUUUAUAUCGUGUAUAUACACAUUUACAAGUCCAAAUUUUCAUCCUCUCAAUCACUCAGUAACUUUACCAACAAUAAAUGUUGGAUCUCUGUAUAUAGGUAAAUUGUGCAAUUGAUAUAUAGAGCAACUGCAACAAAUCAGUCAGUUACAAAUCAAGGCAGAGUGAUGUAAUAUGCUGGCAAUUGUUAAGUAGUGCAGUUGGCUCUUUUUGUUCUCAGGUUAGAGCAAUGUUGUUUGCUUCAAAAAUAAAAACACAGUCUCCCUUGUAAGAAAAUUAAUGUGUUCACAUCUCAACAUAACAAGUAAAUUCAUAGAGAAAAUCAAAUUAUUUACAUGAUAUACUCGACAAUUAGUCUAAUGGAAUUUGUAGAAUAAAAAAUAACAUGUAAUUAUGACGAUUAUAAGUGAAUGUUUGACACAAAAUGUCUCUUCAGAAAUGUGUAUAUUUUAAUGAUAAAUCUAUACAUUGUACUUGCUGUACUUUUUAUAGUAUAUUUUAUGAACUUGCAGCUGAUAAGUGAAUGUGACAAUUUACGAGUUAUGUUACAAUUUGUUACACGUUGACAUGGCCACAUAAGCUGUUUAUGGAGUGCAUUCACUGCGGCCAGUUUCCAGAAAUCUCCCAAUUAAAAAACACCAGAAAAUAUCUUAAGGUCAGAUAGUUUGGUUGUUGACAUUAGUUUUGAUUUAUUUAUUGAUUGUGUUAUGCCUUGUUCUCUUAAUUUGUUAUCAAAUAUUUAAGUUUAUAUGACUUGAAGAGACUUACAUGUUUAUGUUAUUGAUGUGUUUGUGCUGAUUUCUUGCAUUCUAAUUAAAGAAUAUUCAAGUGGAAAAAGAAUAUUGUUGUGCAUUGAAAGUGUGUUGUGAUUUCAAAUAAAAAUACUAUGAAAAUAUAGUUAAGUCGUUUGAUUACAAAGUUAUUACAAAGGUGAUCAAUUGGUUAUCAAGUGUAGGUGUUUGCAUACGGACAUAAUAUGUUUGUGCUUUAUAUGUAUAUAAUGUAGAUCCCCAUUUACCAGAAAAUAUUUUGAUGUGCUUAAAUGUGCUAAUAGCCUGAUGAAAUUCGUGUUGACUAUGCGUUUUACAUUUUGCCAUUUUUAUUUAAAAACUGAAAAACAAAUGAUUUGUCAGUGAAAAUAAAUACUGUAUUGUUGUUCAAUCAGUUAAACUAUUUCACUGUUUUCAUGCAUAUGUUCAAAUCAUUUUCAUUUUUGUUCAAUCUUUAAGAUGCAACGCUUGUGUAAUUUACUUUAUGAAACUUAUAUAUACACAAAAAUGUAGUACAGAUGUAUAUCAAAUGACUGCUGUGGGCUUGUUGUAAACAGAAAACCAUGCUUUAAAUUGAAAAAACCUUGUUAUAUGCCAUGUUUUUCAUUUAAUAAUAUUAAAAGCACCUUUGAAAUUGAACUUCUUGAAAAUAUGUUUCGUUGUUUUGUAAAAAUAUCUUAAGUUAUCUAUUCUAAAUUAUCUAUUCUUAUAUAAGAAAUACAAAUUAAAAUUGGUUAUUGGAAAUAAGUCAAUUAAAAGUCAAGGGAUAAUGAUGUAAUGUACUUAAAAAUGUCAAAACUGCUAUUGUCUCUAUUUGUAUUCUAGAUAUGUUAUAUCCUUAAACAAACAAAUACAAUGUUGUCUCCUUGUUGAAUAGGUGUUGUGUACCUCUGAACAUGUCAAGUCAUUUACUUUAAGUAUUUUAAAUUAGUUCUCACUAUCUGCAACCGUAAGUCACUCAUGAAUUUUGUGUAAUAAACAUUGGAUAAAUAUAUUUUUAUAUAAUCGAUUAUAAGAUAAGGUGAAUAGUGUAUGUGCGUUAUUAGUUAUAAACAUUGGAUAAAUAUAUUUUUAUAUAAUCGAUUAUAAGAUAAGGUAAAAAGUGUAUGUGCGUUAUAAGAAAUAAACAUUGGAUAAAUAUAUUUUUAUAUAAUCGAUUAUAAGAUAAGGUGAAAAGUGUAUGAGCGUUAUUAGUAAUAAACAUUGGAUAAAUAUAUUUUUAUAUAAUCGAUUACAAGAUAAGGUGAAUAGUGUAUGUGCGUUAUUAAAUUCAUCAGGUAUGACCAUACUGUGCUACAAGUUUUGUAAUUGUGACUAUUAAAAGUACAUGAUCUGCAAAAAAUGUCACUUAAACAAAUGUGUAUAUGUUUAUCAUUAUUAAAUUCUUUCCAACUA
This is a long non-coding RNA of Dreissena polymorpha, 3376 nucleotides long. RefSeq lists it as uncharacterized. NCBI's taxonomy places the organism in Eukaryota, Metazoa, Mollusca, Bivalvia, Myida, Dreissenidae. The record is from RefSeq and is a predicted model, not a curated record. The transcript has 2 exons.